AGCAGUAAGGAAUAUUGCGCAAUGGGCGACAGCCUGACGCAGCGACGCCGCGUGGGGGAUGAAGGUCUUCGGAUUGUAAACCCCUUUCGGCAGGGAAGAUGGAACGGGCAACCGUUCGGACGGUACCUGCAGAAGCAGCCACGGCUAACUUCGUGCCAGCAGCCGCGGUAAUACGAAGGUGGCAAGCGUUGUUCGGAUUUACUGGGCGUACAGGGAGCGUAGGCGGUUGGGUAAGCCCUCCGUGAAAUCUCCGGGCCUAACCUAUGAAAGUGCGGAGGGGACUGCUUGGCUAGAGGAUGGGAGAGGAGCGCGGAAUUCCCGGUGUAGCGGUGAAAUGCGUAGAGAUCGGGAGGAAGGCCGGUGGCGAAGGCGGCGCUCUGGAACAUUUCUGACGCUGAGGCUCGAAAGCG
RNAcentral lists this ribosomal RNA (410 nucleotides) under uncultured Nitrospira sp. RNAcentral's name for it is "bacterial SSU rRNA". It matches the Rfam family "Bacterial small subunit ribosomal RNA", at positions 350 to 761 of the family's 1533-position model. The record is from RNAcentral. Lineage: Bacteria; Pseudomonadati; Nitrospirota; Nitrospiria; Nitrospirales; Nitrospiraceae.